RNAcentral lists this non-coding RNA (23 nucleotides) under Arabidopsis thaliana (thale cress). The record is from RNAcentral. Lineage: Eukaryota; Viridiplantae; Streptophyta; Magnoliopsida; Brassicales; Brassicaceae.
AGCUUACUCCAACAAUCUCCCCU